UCGAGAAUUUUUCACAAUGGGGGAAACCCUGAUGGAGCGACGCCGCGUGGGGGAUGAAUGGCUUCGGCCCGUAAACCCCUGUCAUUCGCGAUCAAAGCGCAUUGUUUAAGAGAUGAUGUGUUGAUAGUAGCGGAAGAGGAAGGGACGGCUAACUCUGUGCCAGCAGCCGCGGUAAUACAGAGGUCCCGAGCGUUGUUCGGAUUCACUGGGCGUAAAGGGUGCGUAGGUGGUGGGGUAAGUCGGAUGUGAAAUCUCGGAGCUCAACUCCGAAAUGGCAUUGGAAACUACCCUGCUGGAGGGUUGGAGGGGGGACUGGAAUUCUCGGUGUAGCAGUGAAAUGCGUAGAUAUCGAGAGGAACACCAGUGGCGAAGGCGAGUCCCUGGACAACACCUGACACUGAGGCACGAAAGCUAGGGGAGCAAACAGGAUUAGAUACCCUGGUAGUCCUAGCCGUAAACGGUGCGUGCUUGCUGUAAAAGGAAUCGA
RNAcentral lists this ribosomal RNA (487 nucleotides) under uncultured Verrucomicrobiota bacterium. RNAcentral describes it as "bacterial SSU rRNA". It matches the Rfam family "Bacterial small subunit ribosomal RNA", at positions 355 to 835 of the family's 1533-position model. Lineage: Bacteria; Pseudomonadati; Verrucomicrobiota. The record is from RNAcentral.